GUGUUUGUUUCUGCAGCACAUGUAUUAAAAUUGGAAUGCUACAGAGAAGAUUAGCAUGCCCCCUGCACAGCAAUGACACACAAAUUUGUGAAGCAUUCCAUACCUUU
This 107-nucleotide small nuclear RNA is filed under the name Salvator merianae (Argentine black and white tegu). The record is from RNAcentral. Lineage: Eukaryota; Metazoa; Chordata; Lepidosauria; Squamata; Teiidae.